RNAcentral lists this non-coding RNA (20 nucleotides) under Arabidopsis thaliana (thale cress). The record is from RNAcentral. Lineage: Eukaryota; Viridiplantae; Streptophyta; Magnoliopsida; Brassicales; Brassicaceae.
CCGUAGACCAGGUCACUGCA